This 74-nucleotide transfer RNA is filed under the name Phycisphaerae bacterium. RNAcentral's name for it is "tRNA-Met". It matches the Rfam family "tRNA". Rfam says of the family: Transfer RNA (tRNA) molecules are approximately 80 nucleotides in length. Their secondary structure includes four short double-helical elements and three loops (D, anti-codon, and T loops). Further hydrogen bonds mediate the characteristic L-shaped molecular structure. tRNAs have two regions of fundamental functional importance: the anti-codon, which is responsible for specific mRNA codon recognition, and the 3' end, to which the tRNAs corresponding amino acid is attached (by aminoacyl-tRNA synthetases). tRNAs cope with the degeneracy of the genetic code in two manners: having more than one tRNA (with a specific anti-codon) for a particular amino acid; and 'wobble' base-pairing, i.e. permitting non-standard base-pairing at the 3rd anti-codon position. The record is from RNAcentral. Lineage: Bacteria; Pseudomonadati; Planctomycetota; Phycisphaerae.
GGCGGUGUAGCUCAGCUGGCUAGAGCAUGGGAUUCAUAAACCCAAGGUCGUGAGUUCAAGUCUCACCGCCGCCA